Non-coding RNA from Doryrhamphus excisus (bluestripe pipefish), 72 nucleotides. NCBI's taxonomy places the organism in Eukaryota, Metazoa, Chordata, Actinopteri, Syngnathiformes, Syngnathidae. The record is from the annotation of a RefSeq genome assembly.
GCAUUGGUGGUAUAGCGGUUAGCAUAGCUGCCUUCCAAGCAGUUAACCUGGGUUCGAGUCACAGCCAAUGCA